Long non-coding RNA from Sycon ciliatum, 1331 nucleotides. RefSeq lists it as uncharacterized. The transcript has 4 exons. NCBI's taxonomy places the organism in Eukaryota, Metazoa, Porifera, Calcarea, Leucosolenida, Sycettidae. The record is from RefSeq and is a predicted model, not a curated record.
CGUUCAACCAUUGCAUUCAGUGCUCAUUAUUCUAAUCUCUCCUUCUUCGAAUGUUUGCAAUGAUUAUGUCUCACAGUGUUAGGGCAGUACUGGCGCAUGGCAUGAUGAUGUCGCCACUGAAUUUUGUGACCGUGUGCUACGUGUUGGAAACUGAGGCUUUGUCAGUUUGUGACGAGCGAACAGCUUUUUGCUUACAAAUACAAGUUCAAGCGACCGCUAACAGCUGUGAACACUAAUCUUGUCAGGAGCACGGCACAUCUUCCAGAUAAUAGUAUCAGCGUUGUUAUGGCCAUGGCCUAACUCUCUUCACCUAGAGCUGUGGAAUUCUACUCCCUCCAUGGUCCCCCACACGACGUCUAUUGGUUAGUUUUGAAUGUAGCUUUGGUCGGACAUGCGAGUAAGUGUAACAGCAAGAGUGAGAGAACACUGUGGUUGCUAUAAACUGCACGGAACUUCUACAAGAACAAUGUCAUGGGUCCAUGGAACAGAGCUGAACAUUGUCAUGGGUCCAUGGAGCAGAGCUGAACAAUGUCAUGGGUCCAUGGAGCAGAGCUGAGCAAUGUCAUGGGUCCAUGGAGCAGAGCUGAAUUAACAAUGUCAUGGGUCCAUGGAGCAGAGCUGAACAAUGUCAUGGGUCCAUGGAGCAGAGCUGAACAAUGUCAUGGGUCCAUGGAGCAGAGCUGAACAAUGCCAUGGGUCCACGGCGCAGAGCUGAACAAUGUCAUGGGUCCCUGGACCAGAGCUGAACGCUGCUUGGUGACAACUGCCUCGUAGCCAGCAAUUUUGGAACAACAAUUUCAGCCAAUGGCUGCACACAAUGACAAUUGGAUGUACAUGUGUAUGUUUGUGCAUGGAAUGGCUGCUGUUUGUCCAUGGAAUGGCUGACGUUUGGCCAGGGAAUGGCUGCUGCUUGGACAUGGAAUGCCUGACGCGUGGCCACGGAAUGGCUGACGUUUGGCCACGGAAUCAAUGCCUGCUGUUUUGCCACGGAAUGGUUGCACGGUUUCGGCACGCUUGGCACGUAAAUACCUGCAAACAUGUACAAGUGUCUCUGCAAGGAAACGGAUGGAGUUCAUGUCCACGGGUCACUUUGCUAGUGGCUGAAAGGAGGAGUCAUCUGGAUGAGGUAGGCUGAGUCGCUCGGCAGCCAAGGUAUUCCAGGACUGUAUGGUGGUCAGAGUCAGAAUAGGAGCCAUGUAUGGCCAGACAGCAAGAAUUCACGGUGGUCACUGUCAAUCAUGGAGCUGUGAAUGGCCAGAAUGGUGUGAAAUAGUGAAUUUUUUUUCGCUCAGCUGCCAUUCACAAUGUACCUUCUGUGUAACUGGGCGGAG